RNAcentral lists this transfer RNA (65 nucleotides) under Cavia porcellus (domestic guinea pig). It matches the Rfam family "tRNA". Rfam says of the family: Transfer RNA (tRNA) molecules are approximately 80 nucleotides in length. Their secondary structure includes four short double-helical elements and three loops (D, anti-codon, and T loops). The record is from Rfam by way of RNAcentral. Lineage: Eukaryota; Metazoa; Chordata; Mammalia; Rodentia; Caviidae.
GGUGUAGCUCAAUAGUACAGCAUAUGCUUAGCAUGCAUGAGACCCUGGAUUCAAUCUCUAGUACC